CCUACGGGUGGCAGCAGUGGGGAAUCUUCCGCAAUGGGCGCAAGCCUGACGGAGCAACGCCGCGUGAGUGAAGAAGGUCUUCGGAUCGUAAAGCUCUGUUGAUGGGGACGAACGUGCGAAGGGUGAAUAAUCCUUUGUAAUGACGGUACCUAUCGAGGAAGCCACGGCUAACUACGUGCCAGCAGCCGCGGUAAUACGUAGGUGGCGAGCGUUGUCCGGAAUCAUUGGGCGUAAAGGGAGCGCAGGCGGGCAUGUAAGUCUUUCUUAAAAGUGCGGGGCUCAACCCCGUGAUGGGAAAGAAACUACAAGUCUUGAGUACAGGAGAGGAAAGCGGAAUUCCCAGUGUAGCGGUGAAAUGCGUAGAUAUUGGGAGGAACACCAGUGGCGAAGGCGGCUUUCUGGACGACAACUGACGCUGAGGCGCGAAAGCCAGGGGAGCAAACGGGAUUAGAUACCCGAGUAGUC
Molecule: ribosomal RNA, 465 nt
Filed under: uncultured Selenomonas sp.
Lineage: Bacteria; Bacillati; Bacillota; Negativicutes; Selenomonadales; Selenomonadaceae
Description: bacterial SSU rRNA
Rfam family: Bacterial small subunit ribosomal RNA
Source: RNAcentral